RNAcentral lists this non-coding RNA (27 nucleotides) under Homo sapiens (human). Lineage: Eukaryota; Metazoa; Chordata; Mammalia; Primates; Hominidae. The record is from RNAcentral.
GCAGAAAGGCUGCCUGUUCAUUAGAGA